UUCUAGCCCCGAUAGCAGUGGAAAUCCUUUUAUUUUUUUCUUUAAAAAAUAAAAGAUUGGAACGGAUAGCGGGAUUAGCU
RNAcentral lists this small RNA (80 nucleotides) under Flavobacterium circumlabens. RNAcentral describes it as "Flavo-1 RNA". It matches the Rfam family "Flavo-1 RNA". Lineage: Bacteria; Pseudomonadati; Bacteroidota; Flavobacteriia; Flavobacteriales; Flavobacteriaceae. The record is from RNAcentral.